Molecule: long non-coding RNA, 4116 nt
Filed under: Nicotiana benthamiana
Lineage: Eukaryota; Viridiplantae; Streptophyta; Magnoliopsida; Solanales; Solanaceae
Description: long non-coding RNA (NBEN_LNC024486)
Source: RNAcentral
UGCAUGGUUCCACUCCUUCGGGAAGUCAAUAGCGCAAGCCACCAGGUUCUCGGUCCUGAUAAAGAGAAAUGCUCGUAAGGAUGGGUAGUGACCUCGUCGUCAAGCUCCGCAGUUAAGCCGACGCACGAGGGACAAACUAAAUCAUGAUGCCACGUACCCUCUGAGGGGCAUAGAGAGUUAGCACGUGCCCAAGAGUGAUCUCCCUCCUUGCCAACUCCGCAUAUUUGAUCAGCAUCGCCAGUAAAUUGUAACAAGAGGGUCUGACCGGGGCACACCCUGUAGUAGCGACAAAAAUCGACCACCAGCAUUGGGAGAGGAAGCCUGAAUCCCAGCUUGAAAAGGUAGGCAUAAAAGACACAGUAUCCCCGACGGUCAACGUGUACCCUUUCGCCGCUUCUAGCGAGGACGAUGUUGGCGAAGCGAGGAAUAUCGCAUUGCUCCUUCAGCUGGGCAAUGCCAACUUCCCCCAUCAGUGGGGCUUCAUCCACUGGAUCCUCUAUCUCGGGGUCGGUGAAAUUAGUUGCAGAACCACCGGGGAGAGAGAGAAUGUUAGUCAACGACGGAAACUGGUCAACAUUCGACAAAUCGGUGGUUCUUACCACUGCAAAUGGGCCCUCAGCCACCGUAACCGACAUCGGAGAAAUAUCGGAAUGAGAAACACUCGCCAUUGUCAGUAUAAUGGAAGAGAAAUGGAAAAAUUCACCGGAAGAGCAAGAAAAGACGGAGAUCCAACGAAAACGACAGAGAAUAAAUUAACAAGGAGCACAUACUAGAUAAUCUGAAAACAAGAAGGAGCUCUCUCUCUCUCUCGGUAUUUCAUUUAGACAAAUAUAAAAAAAGUGUGAACUGAACGCUAUAACCCCUUAUUUAUAGACGAGGCAUAAAUGACCUUCACGAAUCCCAAAGGUCACCAUUAACUACCUGAUCAACCGCAAAACGGUUUAGGCCUAUAGUAACGGGCAUCAUUAUGACAGAUACCACGCACCGGCCAUUCAACCGCCAAUCACCACGUCUCCCCUAAAAUGGUUGUGACAUCCCCAAGGUACCAUGAGCUCGCCCCACGCGUCACCAUGCAUACGACGUCCCCCUUAUACGUGGUAAGUAUGAUCUUAUUCUCUUUAUGCAUGUAAAAAGGCUACGGCCAUCUCCAGAAGAAAAUUGGCUAUGGCCAUCCUUGAAGUAAAAAUGGCCACGGCCAUCUCCAAAAUAAAAGUCUAUGGCCACUCCUAAAGUAAAAAUGGCUACGACCAUCCCUAAAGUAAAAAUGGCCACAACCAUCUCCAAAAGAUGAAUGGCUACGGCCAUCCCUGAAGUAAAAAUGGCCACGGCCAUCUCUAAAAGAUAAAAGGCUACGGUCACUCCUAAAGUAAAAAUGGUUAUUGCCAUCUCUAAAGUAAAAAUGGCUACGGUCAUCCCUGAAGUAAAAAUGGCCACGGCCAUCUUCACAAGAAAAAUGGCCACGGCCAUCUCCAAAAGAUAAAUGGCUACGGCCAUCUCCAAAAGAUAAAAGGUUGCGGCGAUCCCUAGAGUAAGAAUGGCAAUGGCCAUCUCCAAAAGAUAGAAGGCUAAGGCCAUCUGUAAAAGUAAAAACGGCUACGGCCGUCUCCAAAGAAUAAAGGACUACGAUCGUCCCCGACGCAUAAACGACUACGGUUAUUGCGGAAUCCGCUGAUUGAGCUCAGCCUGAGCACAACCUCAAUAAGCGGAUGGACUAUCUGUAUGGGUCAAAACUUGACCUCACGAUAAUGAAUGAGACGAAUGCAUUUAUUAAUGCCUAUUUGUGAUUAAUAAAUGGUAUGGUCAUUUAUUAAUAAGAUUAUCAGGCAGAUACCCAAUUUGACAACUGAGGCCACGGCCUAGCCGUUCUUGUGAGGGUGUCCUCGGUGUGGUCCCAACCCAUUGGCGCCAGCUGGCAGGUCUCUUGGCUAUAAAUACUAGGAGGAAGAACCCUAAAAAGGGGGCUGUUUCUUCUUCUUCAGAUUGACUUCUAAAAGAAGAAAUAAAACAUAAUUGUAAGGCUCUGAACCUCUCUAUGGAGAGGCAGACCAAACCAAUAUCAUUAAUAAAAGAUCUUCACCCUCCUCCCUUUAAUAUAUAACUGUUUUCACACUUCCUUUUUCCACUUAAAGGAGUUUUUCCACUUAAAAGACAAUCGGAACAGGAUUUAGUUUAUUAAUUAUUUUUAAUCGCCACUUGGGAGAUUAAUAGUAUCCCAAGUCACCGGUUUUAAUCUCGAACCGAGGAAAAUUAUGACUUUAUUAACAGUCCGCGAACCAGAAAUCCGGGUAAGGAAUUCUGUUAACCCGGAAGAAUGUGUUAGGCAUUCCCGAGUUCCGUGGUUCUAGCACGGAUCACUUAACUAUUGCACUUGAUUUUAUCUGAUUUUAAUACAUGCUAGCCUAUAUACCUUUUAUUUAUAUAUCGCUUUUACCGUUAUUUAUUUUAAAAUACUUGCGACGUCGUGAAAAUACGUCUCUGACCACGUCGCCAUCAAGGAACCCGUGGUCGUCAACACAUUUCGACUUCGUCGAGAUUUGGAUUUAGGUCGCAUCAAUGCGCACACGAGUUUAAGAUAGUAAUUUAAUUAAAUCUCGUUUAAAGGUUCUAGCGUAAUAUUAUUUUGGUAAAGGCUGCUGAAAUUCGCUAAACGGCCCUUCCAAAUUCUAAUCAUUUUUUAUAAUCAAUUAUUGAGGGCCCCACAUUUAUAUUUUGUUCGGUGAGGCUCGUCUCCAUUUUUGAACCAAUUUUCAAUCAUUAUUUGUUUUAUAAGAAUUACGGCGUCAUGAAAACGCGUUUCUAACCCCGUCGCACCAAGGCACACGUGGUUAUCAACACAUUUCGACUUCGUCGAGAUUUGGAUUUGGGUCGCACCAAUGCGCACCCGUUUAAGAAGAUAAAAUUAUUAAAACGUGCCUAAAGUAAUUUCGCAUUUGUGAUUUGCGAGGGCCAUGAAAUUUAGCUAAAUGGCACGUCUCGGAAUCUAAGGAUCAAUACAAGAUUAAUUAAAGUGAGGGCUAUGUAAUUGUCAUACUAAAUUUCGUUUUAAGAAAUUCGGCGUUCUAUUCCUCCUAACAGUGAAUCUAUGUACUCCAAUGUGAUCGAAUAAAACAUGAAUCUAAACAGUGACAAAUAAACGCUUGCUUGAGCCCUUCCAGUUGUGUGACUCGGCAAACUAAAGACUUGCUAAUAAUUUCACAAAUUUCAACUCAGGCUGCCAGGGAGGAAAGCACACGGAACAUCCAGUAGGUGCUGAUUUUGCAACUGUUGCAGUGACUCGACAAACUAAAGACUUGCUAAUAAUUUCACAAAUUUCAACUCAGGCUGCCAGGGAGGAAAGCACACGGAACAUCCAGUGCAGAAUCUUUAUCGAUGAAUUUGGCUUAUCCUUAACGAUCAAUAUUAGUGCCUAUAAAGUUCUUAAACAGAGAAUCAAACACAAAUACAGAAGGCUAGAAUUGCUUCUACCAAGUGAACAUAAAACUAUGAAAUUAUCAAUUAACAAGCAUAAAUCUAUCACAUUCAUAAAAAUAUCCAACUGAUGUAACCAAAUCAGUGUGUAACAUGAACAUUAAUUCAACGUAGAACAUUUAUAAAUUGUCAAAGUUUUGUCAUGGGAACAAAAGCAGUAGAAAAUUAGAAAAGAGAAACAGAACCUCUCGUUAAACAGCAAACCCGAGCCGAAAUAGCAGGCCACCGGACGAGAAACUCAAAUAGGCACCGGAAUUUCGAAUCGAACACGAACUCGAAUCAAUCUCGGCUGAAAUUAUCCCCAUACUCGAAUAACCAGAAGUCUAAUCCAAUUGAAGAAACAGAACCAAAACCAUCUCUGAAAUCAAUUUAUCUGGUGUGUGCUUUUGAGAAUUUCCGGCGACGAAUUGCGAGUGAAUUCCGACGAUACUGAUGAGUGACUGAGCGUAUGUGUGUAGCCAGUGAAGGAGUGAAUUGGGUGUUGUUUUCCAGUGAGGGAACUUGUUUGGUUGAGUGAUCACCGGCGAAGUAAAGGUCGUUUGGACAGAGGCGACGCCGGAAGUUCAGGAGUUGUUUGGGUGAGCAGUUGUCGGGUGAGAGAGGGAGACGAAAUCAGGGGGUCUUUUUGUGUUCAAUCUAUUGCGUUCC